RNAcentral lists this ribosomal RNA (247 nucleotides) under Bacillus sp. UFRGS-B20. RNAcentral describes it as "partial 23S ribosomal RNA". It matches the Rfam family "Bacterial large subunit ribosomal RNA", at positions 1 to 244 of the family's 2925-position model. The record is from RNAcentral. Lineage: Bacteria; Bacillati; Bacillota; Bacilli; Caryophanales; Bacillaceae.
UUUGGUUAAGAGAAAGGCGAACACGGUGGAUGCCUUGAACAACUAGGAGUCGAUGAAGACGGGACUAAACGCCGGAUAUGCUUCGGGGAGCGUAAGUAAGCUUUGAUCCGAAGAUUUCCGAAUGGAAACCCACCAUACGUAAUGUAUGGUACUCCUUAUCUGAAUUACAUAGGUAAGAAGACAGACCCAGGGAACUGAAACAUCUAAGUAACCUGGAGGAGAGAAAGCAAAAUGCGAUUUCCUGAGU